GACGAACGCUGGCGGCGUGCUUAACACAUGCCAGUCGAACGGAAAGGCCCUGCUUUUGUGGGGUGCUCGAGUGGCGAACGGGUGAGUAACACGUGAGUAACCUGCCCUUGACUUUGGGAUAACUUCAGGAAACUGGGGCUAAUACCGGAUAGGAGCUCCUGCUGCAUGGUGGGGGUUGGAAAGUUUCGGCGGUUGGGGAUGGACUCGCGGCUUAUCAGCUUGUUGGUGGGGUAGUGGCUUACCAAGGCUUUGACGGGUAGCCGGCCUGAGAGGGUGACCGGCCACAUGGGGACUGAGAUACACCGCGGACUCAUCCGGGAGGCAGCAGGGGGGAGUGUGGCACAACGGCCGGAGGCUUGAUGCAGGAACCCCCCGGGGGGGAGGAGGGACUGCGGGUUGUAAACCACGUACCCCUGGGACACAGCGUGAGUGACGGUAAGGGAUAAGGAAGCACCGGCUAACUACGUG
This 468-nucleotide ribosomal RNA is filed under the name uncultured bacterium. RNAcentral describes it as "partial 16S ribosomal RNA". It matches the Rfam family "Bacterial small subunit ribosomal RNA", at positions 28 to 507 of the family's 1533-position model. The record is from RNAcentral.